RNAcentral lists this transfer RNA (68 nucleotides) under Dolichosciara megumiae. Its description in RNAcentral is "tRNA-Cys". Lineage: Eukaryota; Metazoa; Arthropoda; Insecta; Diptera; Sciaridae. The record is from RNAcentral.
UAUAUUAUAGUCAAUUUAUAUGACGUUAGACUGCAAUUCUAAAAGAAUAUUAUUUUAUAUUAAUAUAU